RNAcentral lists this ribosomal RNA (312 nucleotides) under Alexandrium tamarense. RNAcentral describes it as "partial Bacterial small subunit ribosomal RNA". It matches the Rfam family "Bacterial small subunit ribosomal RNA", at positions 212 to 516 of the family's 1533-position model. The record is from RNAcentral. Lineage: Eukaryota; Dinophyceae; Gonyaulacales; Pyrocystaceae.
AUUUCGCCGGAGGAUGAGCUCGCGUCUGAUUAGCUUGUUGGUGGGGUAAUGGCCUACCAAGGCGACGAUCAGUAGCUGGUCUGAGAGGAUGAUCAGCCACACUGGGACUGAGACACGGCCCAGACUCCUACGGGAGGCAGCAGUGGGGAAUUUUGGACAAUGGGCGAAAGCCUGAUCCAGCAAUACCGCGUGCAGGAAGAAGGCCCUCGGGUUGUAAACUGCUUUUGUACGGAACGAAACGGCGCGCUCUAAUAAAGUGCGCUAAUGACGGUACCGUAAGAAUAAGCACCGGCUAACUACGUGCCAGCAGCC